Non-coding RNA from Oncorhynchus kisutch (coho salmon), 74 nucleotides. The record is from the annotation of a RefSeq genome assembly. Lineage: Eukaryota; Metazoa; Chordata; Actinopteri; Salmoniformes; Salmonidae.
GGCAUGGUGGCCAAGCGGUAAGGCGUCGGUCUUGUAAACCGAAGAUUCAUGGGUUCAAAUCCCAUCCUGUGCCU